Molecule: transfer RNA, 85 nt
Filed under: Lentinula edodes (shiitake mushroom)
Lineage: Eukaryota; Fungi; Basidiomycota; Agaricomycetes; Agaricales; Omphalotaceae
Rfam family: tRNA
About the family: Transfer RNA (tRNA) molecules are approximately 80 nucleotides in length. Their secondary structure includes four short double-helical elements and three loops (D, anti-codon, and T loops).
Source: Rfam by way of RNAcentral
ACCUUAAUAGCUUAGUGUUAGAGCAUUUGGUGAAUAUUGUGUGUUAAGUAACCAAGAGGCUAGGGUUCGAAUCCCUAUUGAGGUU